CAACCCUCAGGCCUUGUAUUGCCUGGCGUUGGGGUUUUUCUGCGGGCGCCUCUUAAGGUGCCCGCAGGCCCCCAAGAUCAGUGGCGGACCCGUCGUGGCUCCGAGCGUAGUAGAUUACUUUCUCGCUUGGGAGGCUCGGCGGUCUCCAGCCGUGAAACACCACCAUAUUUCUAAAA
Molecule: unclassified non-coding RNA, 176 nt
Filed under: uncultured Sordariomycetes
Lineage: Eukaryota; Fungi; Ascomycota; Sordariomycetes
Description: sequence contains ITS2
Source: RNAcentral